AGCAAUCGCAGACGUCCCUUCCCCAGCCAGGCUGCCACCUCGCAGUUCAAUCUCAGACUGCUGUGCUAGCAGUGGGGAAGGCUCCGUGGGCAUGGAAACUGCCGAGCCAGGCACAGUAGAGAAUCACCUUGUCUGCCGGUUGCUAAGACCUUUGGAAAAGUGCAGUAUUUGGGUGAGAGUGUCCUAUUUUUCCAGGUACAGUCUGUCACGUCUUCCCUUGGCUAGGAAAGGGAAAUCCCCCGACCCCUUACACUUUCCGGGUGAGGCAACGCCCCACUCUGCUUCAGCUCACCCUCCAUGGGCUGCACUCACCUUCCAACCAGUCUCAAUGAGAUGAACCAGGUACCUCAGUUGGAAAUGCAGAAAUCACCCGUCUUCUGCGUCAAUCACGCUGAGAACUGCAGACCAGAGCUGUUCCUAUUUGGCCAUCUUGGAACCGGUCUGAGUCUGUUUUAGCCAGAUCAAGUACUUGCAGACACUUGAAGAAGCAUCUUUCUUGUGAUCUCCUGGCUGGUACCCUGAAGUCCUGUUAUGCCAAUGGACCAGCAACCCUCGCAGGUAGGAAUUACUGCUAGAAAGACUAUCCUCUCUGCAGGCAAAUUUCUGGAAGGAUACUAUUUUAUGGGGAAAAAUGUGAACAACUGUAGGUAAUUUCACAGUCUGUAGGGCUUGUCUCCUAUUUGUAAUUUCUUACAUGUUUACUCGUGGUGGAAAUGUGGAGGUGGCUAAGGAACAAGCAGGCCCGCUGUGUUUCAGUGGCUUUCAGAGAAGGUGGCGGGAAAUAGUCUCUUCUCAGCAGCAGCUGAAUCCCAGUGUUAGCAGACGGAGCCUUGUUUCUUGAAAGUACAUUCCCAGGGAUUCCCUUGAAGAAUGUGAGAGAUCAGCUGGAAUGAAACUGGAUGUUUUAGGGUCCUGAGGGAAAUGUAAAUCCAGCAGCUUAUUCUCAAGAUGUGGCUCCAGAACCAGCAGCACUGAUUCUUCUAAAGAGUUGAGAGUGCAUUUUAGCUGUGAUAUCUUUGUACUCUUAAGAAAUCCUCCUCAACAAGACAAAACUUGACCAAGAGCAUUCAGUUGUCUUCCAGAAGGCUCCCUUGAGGACUGGGACUCUUCCUGGAUGCACCCAAUUAAUCUAUUGAAACAAGGACUCGUGAUGGCAGCCCCUCACCUGACAAACUGGAUUUUCCCCAGAGAUCAUUUGUAAUGUUUUUCCUGAAUCUUAUUUGUGUUUCCCUAUUAGCAAUGUUAUGUAUUUCUAUAUCGCAAAUCCUAAGUGCCGCCUGUAGAACCUAACCUCCAUUUAUAGCAUGGAACACACAGCCCAUCACGUAUCCUUGCCCUGGCCUUCAGCCUCUGAAUAUUUUAAUAAAAAUCACUCUUUCCUCCUUAA
This 1387-nucleotide long non-coding RNA is filed under the name Homo sapiens (human). Its description in RNAcentral is "CDC42EP3 antisense RNA 1 (CDC42EP3-AS1)". Lineage: Eukaryota; Metazoa; Chordata; Mammalia; Primates; Hominidae. The record is from RNAcentral.